UAUAAGGCCCUUUUAAGGGCCACAAUAAGGUUUUCCGGAAGUCUCCU
This is a non-coding RNA of Tyto alba (common barn owl), 47 nucleotides long. Lineage: Eukaryota; Metazoa; Chordata; Aves; Strigiformes; Tytonidae. The record is from Rfam.